CGUGUAGGCGGCCUGAUAAGUCUGGAGUGAAAGUCCUGCUUUUAAGGUGGGAAUUGCUUUGGAUACUGUCGGGCUCGAGUGCAGGAGAGGUUAGCGGAAUUCCCGGUGUAGCGGUGAAAUGCGUAGAGAUCGGGAGGAACACCAGUGGCGAAGGCGGCUAACUGGACUGUAACUGACGCUGAGGCGCGAAAGUGUGGGGAGCAAACA
RNAcentral lists this ribosomal RNA (207 nucleotides) under uncultured bacterium. RNAcentral's name for it is "partial 16S ribosomal RNA". It matches the Rfam family "Bacterial small subunit ribosomal RNA", at positions 568 to 774 of the family's 1533-position model. The record is from RNAcentral.